GCCAAAAACCUAGUCCUACGCCCUCUAAUUAACUCCCCCCUCUUUCACUCAUCAAACAAAACAUUUUACUGUUUAGUAAAGGCGAUUGAAAAACACCUAGGAACCACAACCAAAGUACCUCAAGGGAAAGGUGAAAUAGAAGUGAAAUAAAAAUCAAGCACAACAAAGCAGAGACCCAUCUCGUACCUUUUGCAUCAUGGUUUAGCAAGUCAAAUCAAGCACAAAGAAUUUUAGUCUGACCUCCCGAAACCAGAUGAGCUACUUCGAAACAGCCUAUUUAGGGCUAACCCGUCUCUGUUGCAAAAGAGUGGGGAGAUUUCCAAGUAGAGGUGAUAGACCUACCGAAUCUGGAGAUAGCUGGUUAUUUAGGAAAAGGAUAUAAGUCCUACCUUAAGUUUUCCUGCACCAUCUAAUACUUACUUUAACUUAAGAGCUAUUCAAAUAAGGUACAGCCUAUUUGAAACAGGAUACAACCUACAAUACAGGGUAACAUUCCCGGCACGUGUCCAAGUGGGCCUAAGAGCAGCCAACUUUUAAAAAGCGUUAAAGCUUCACCACCAAGCCCCCAUAAUCCCCCCAUUAAACUUCAACCCUUUAAUAGUACUAAAUAAUUCUAUGACCUUAUAGAAGUUAUAAUGCUAAAACUAGUAACAAGAAGAAGACCUUCUCCUAAAUGUAAGUGUAAGCCAAAAAGAACAAUUCACUGGCACUUAACGUCCCUGACUCUCAAGCGGCAACCACACAAGAAAACCCCGCUUCCAUCAACGUUAACCUCACACAAGAACAUUACAGGAAAGAUUAAAAGAAGUGGAAGGAACUCGGCAAAUAUUAACCCCGCCUGUUUACCAAAAACAUCGCCUCCUGCCACAAAUAGGAGGUCCAGCCUGCCCAGUGACCAUGUUAAACGGCCGCGGUACCCUAACCGUGCGAAGGUAGCGCAAUCACUUGUUCUUUAAAUGAGGACUAGUAUGAAUGGCAUCACGAGGGUUACACUGUCUCCCACCUCUAAUCAAUGAAACUGAUCCCCCCGUGAAGAAGCGGGGAUAAGAAUAUAAGACGAGAAGACCCCAUGGAGCUUUAAACUCAGUAUCAACCACCAAGACUCAUAACAUAAAAAUAGGGGGCCCUGAUUACUAGUUUUUGGUUGGGGUGACCGCGGAGUAAAAUGAAACCUCCACAAUGAAUGACACCUCCCCUCUUAUCCAAGAGCCUACAACUCUAAGAAUCAAUAUAUUGACAUCCAUUGACCCAAACAACUUUGAUCAACGAACCAAGUUACCCUGGGGAUAACAGCGCAAUCCAUUUCAAGAGCCCCUAUCGACAAAUGGGUUUACGACCUCGAUGUUGGAUCAGGGUGUCCCAGUGGUGCAGCCGCUACUAAAGGUUCGUUUGUUCAACGAUUAAAACCCU
RNAcentral lists this ribosomal RNA (1410 nucleotides) under Dermatonotus muelleri (Mueller's termite frog). Its description in RNAcentral is "partial 16S ribosomal RNA". It matches the Rfam family "Bacterial large subunit ribosomal RNA", at positions 157 to 2597 of the family's 2925-position model. Lineage: Eukaryota; Metazoa; Chordata; Amphibia; Anura; Microhylidae. The record is from RNAcentral.